AAGCAUCUAAGCGGGAAACUUGCCUCAAGAUGAGAUCUCACUGGGAACUUGAUUCCCCUGAAGGGCCGUCGAAGACUACGACGUUGAUAGGCUGGGUGUGUAAGCGUUGUGAGGCGUUGAGCUAACCAGUACUAAUUGCCCGUGAGGCUUGACCAUAUAACACCCAAACA
This 170-nucleotide ribosomal RNA is filed under the name Pseudomonas aeruginosa. Its description in RNAcentral is "partial 23S ribosomal RNA". It matches the Rfam family "Bacterial large subunit ribosomal RNA", at positions 2775 to 2925 of the family's 2925-position model. The record is from RNAcentral. Lineage: Bacteria; Pseudomonadati; Pseudomonadota; Gammaproteobacteria; Pseudomonadales; Pseudomonadaceae.